Long non-coding RNA from Trematomus bernacchii (emerald rockcod), 524 nucleotides. RefSeq lists it as uncharacterized. The record is from RefSeq and is a predicted model, not a curated record. NCBI's taxonomy places the organism in Eukaryota, Metazoa, Chordata, Actinopteri, Perciformes, Nototheniidae. The transcript is spliced from 3 exons.
CUGUCUUUGCAGCAGUCAUGAAUCUGGAACAAUAGAUUAUUUUUGUAUUUGCUGCACACCGCUUACAGACUGUUUGGUUUCAGCUUUACACCAAAAAUGUAUUUUGAAUUGUGUGUGAGAGUUCUUGUGCUCUCUCUCUUGAUUUUUGGGCAGCAAGCAAAGGCACUCAGCUACAGAAGUGGAGGCUCCAGUGGCAUUACACCUCACUUUGAUUUUUCAAGAGUUCUUAAACCUGCUUCCAUUUCCAGUGAUGAUAGUUCAGCACAGCCUGAGAGGGUUUUGGGUAGUUAUUCACCCUUUCAUGCUGAUGGGGCUUUAUCUGAGACUCUGAAGCCAGCUGCUGCACCAAGUGCAGGAGGUUAUAGUGGCUCUCAUGGUAGGCAAGUAGAUGGUUACAGUCCUGAGGGAAGUGUUUCUAGUUACGGGCCAAGCCAACCAAUAAUUAGUAAACCAAACCAACUACCUCAAGCUAAUCCUAGUGCAAAUGGUGUCCUUCCAACCAAAGCUGCCCAGUGGGCUUUCCC